AUUGAUAGGCGGUUGUCGAAGCCGUCAAAAAUAAACCUAUUAAACAAUCAACAAUAAACUUGUAGAUAGUGGCAAUAGGGUCGAACCACAGGGAAUUGACACCAAUGAUUUUCCUAAUAAUGACUAGGUCAAGUAAAUAACAAGUAAUUAAAAGAGGGGGGUUUUGAGUUGAUGGAUUAACACUAAAUAACAAAAGAAAGCAAUAAUUUAAAGAUGAGUAAAUCAAUAAGAGAAAAGCUUCUAGUUGAAGUAUGGAUCUAUUUCAGAUUGUUUAGAAUUGAUCAUUGAUUAUUUAGGACUCCUAUUUUAUUUCAAUAAAUUAGUUUUGAUUAUGGAAGACGCUUCUCACAACCAAAUUCCUCCUUAGUUCUAGUUUGAUUAGGAAACGUUCGAUAAUCAAACACUAAUCAACAAGUUGCCAAGGAACGUCCUUGGGGCAUUGUAGCAUCGAACAACUGUUGACUGCAUUAAGACUUAGAGAAACCCAAUUCUAUCCUUGCCAACCGCGUGGUCAAGUUUAGAUUAUGCAAUUUGAUUAAAUGUGUAUUUGAACAACCUAAGCAAUUACGGACCUAAAUCAUUCAAACAAUAUUACUUAAGCAAUUUAAAAGCAAUGGGCCCUUAUUGAUUCUAAAAGCAAAGUAAUAAUUAUGGAAAGCUCAAAUUGCAUAAAUAUUGAAAAUAAAUAGAAGUUUAACAAUGGAGAAUUAAAUCUCCCAAUUCAUC
Molecule: long non-coding RNA, 726 nt
Filed under: Manihot esculenta (cassava)
Lineage: Eukaryota; Viridiplantae; Streptophyta; Magnoliopsida; Malpighiales; Euphorbiaceae
Description: long non-coding RNA (MESC_LNC004432)
Source: RNAcentral